This 274-nucleotide ribosomal RNA is filed under the name uncultured bacterium. RNAcentral's name for it is "partial 16S ribosomal RNA". It matches the Rfam family "Bacterial small subunit ribosomal RNA", at positions 523 to 796 of the family's 1533-position model. The record is from RNAcentral.
AUACGGAGGGGGCUAGCGUUGUUCGGAAUUACUGGGCGUAAAGCGCACGUAGGCGGAUUAAAAAGUUAGAGGUGAAAUCCCAGGGCUUAACCCUGGAACUGCCUUUAAAACUAGUAGUCUAGAGUUCGAGAGAGGUGAGUGGAAUUCCAAGUGUAGAGGUGAAAUUCGUAGAUAUUUGGAGGAACACCAGUGGCGAAGGCGGCUCACUGGCUCGAUACUGACGCUGAGGUGCGAAAGCGUGGGGAGAAAACAGGAUUAGAAACCCCUGUAGUCC